GUGGGGGAUAUUGCACAAUGGGGGAAACCCUGAUGCAGCGACGCCGCGUGAAGGAAGACGUACUUCGGUAUGUAAACUUCUAUCAGCAGGGAAGAAGAUGACGGUACCUGACUAAGAAGCCCCGGCUAACUACGUGCCAGCAGCCGCGGUAAUACGUAGGGGGCAAGCGUUAUCCGGAUUUACUGGGUGUAAAGGGAGCGUAGACGGUGAAGCAAGUCUGAUGUGAAAACCCGGGGCUCAACUCCGGGAUUGCAUUUGAAACUGUUUUACUUGAGUGAUGGAGGGGCAAGCGGAAUUCCUGGUGUAGCGGUGAAAUGCGUAGAUAUCAGGAAGAACACCGGUGGCGAAGGCGGCUUGCUGGACAGUAACUGACGUUGAGGCUCGAAAGCGUGGGGAGCAAACAGGAUUAGAUACCCGAGUAGUCC
This 425-nucleotide ribosomal RNA is filed under the name uncultured bacterium. RNAcentral's name for it is "partial 16S ribosomal RNA". It matches the Rfam family "Bacterial small subunit ribosomal RNA", at positions 354 to 796 of the family's 1533-position model. The record is from RNAcentral.